GACGAUCGCUGGCGGCGUGCUUAACACAUGCCAGUCGAACGGAAAGGCCCUGCUUUUGUGGGGUGCUCGAGUGGCGAACGGGUGAGUAACACGUGAGUAACCUGCCCUUGACUUUGGGAUAACUUCAGGAAACUGGGGCUAAUACCGGAUAGGAGCUCCUGCUGCAUGGUGGGGGUUGGAAAGUUUCGGCGGUUGGGGAUGGACUCGCGGCUUAUCAGCUUGUUGGUGGGGUAGUGGCUUACCAAGGCUUUGACGGGUAGCCGGCCUGAGAGGGUGACCGGCCACAUUGGGACUGAGAUACGGCCCAGACUCCUACGGGAGGCAGCAGUGGGGAAUAUUGCACAAUGGGCGGAAGCCUGAUGCAGCAACGCCGCGUGCGGGAUGACGGCCUUCGGGUUGUAAACCGCUUUCGCCUGUGACGAAGCGUGAGUGACGGUAAUGGGUAAAGAAGCACCGGCUAACUACGUG
RNAcentral lists this ribosomal RNA (468 nucleotides) under uncultured bacterium. Its description in RNAcentral is "partial 16S ribosomal RNA". It matches the Rfam family "Bacterial small subunit ribosomal RNA", at positions 28 to 507 of the family's 1533-position model. The record is from RNAcentral.